GGCGUGGCCGAGCGGUCCACCUUUGGGUGAGAACUGUUUGGCUGCGCCUUUCCUUGUGGGGAACCAGCAUUCGCUUAACGGCGUGUGUUGGCAAUCCACAACUUUUACUUUGAAAAAAUUAGAGUGUUUAAAGCAGGCUCACGCUUGAAUACAUUAGCAUGGAAUAACGAAAUAGGACGU
RNAcentral lists this ribosomal RNA (180 nucleotides) under uncultured Glomeromycotina. RNAcentral describes it as "partial small subunit ribosomal RNA". Lineage: Eukaryota; Fungi; Glomeromycota. The record is from RNAcentral.